This 279-nucleotide ribosomal RNA is filed under the name uncultured bacterium. RNAcentral describes it as "partial 16S ribosomal RNA". It matches the Rfam family "Bacterial small subunit ribosomal RNA", at positions 506 to 784 of the family's 1533-position model. The record is from RNAcentral.
UGCCAGCCGCCGCGGUAAUACGGAGGGGGUUAGCGUUGUUCGGAAUUACUGGGCGUAAAGCGUACGUAGGCGGAUCAGAAAGUAUAGGGUGAAAUCCCGGGGCUCAACCCUGGAACUGCCUUUAAAACUCCCAGUCUUGAGUUCGAGAGAGGUGAGUGGAAUUCCGAGUGUAGAGGUGAAAUUCGUAGAUAUUCGGAGGAACACCAGUGGCGAAGGCGGCUCACUGGACUGAUACUGACGCUGAGGUGCGAAAGUGUGGGGAGCAAACAGGAUUAGAUA